AAAGGUAAGUCCAGUCCCCACUUGGGUAGAAGAAUAUAGGGAGCAGAUUCUGCAGGCUCCCUGUUCUAUAGUCAGGCAGCUAAUCUCUGGGUUCCAGGGGGUAAUCUCAAAGGAACUGAGGGCAGGAGAAAAGCUAGAAAGCCGAUGGGACCAAAACUCAAAAAGGUAUGAAGGUUAACAAUAGGUAGAUGGGAGUCAGAUUCUGGAGGACUUCAAGUGGCAGGCUGAGAAGUUUGUAUUUUAUUGGAGAGGCAGUAGGGAGUCACUGAAGAUGCUUCAGUCAGAGAGUGGCCCGGCGUUAUGUGUGUUUUAGGAAUAACCUAGCUUAGUGGCUUAGUGGAGAAUGGAUUGGAAAGAUGGGAAACGAGAAACCAGAAGACCAGUGAAGAGAUUAUUCCUCUAGGAUGGAAGAAAUAUCGAAGAUCUUCAACAUCCCCAAAUAUCCAAUGGCCAAGAAAUGUUGAGUGAAAAGAGACUGAUAUUAAGGAAGGAGAAUUACCAAGAAUUGGAAGGUAUGGUGGAUGGAGAGCUGUCUUCAGAGCAAGGAAGAUGUCGGUUCAAGUCCUGACUGUGGCUGUGUGAUCCUGGCCAAGUGACACCUCACUGAGCCACUGGCAACUCUCAAUUCCAGUGGUAGUCCAUCUGGGUGAGGUGCUGGUUUUCCAUGGGCUGAAUAAGAGGGAAAGAAGGAAGUAUGCAAAGGGGACGUGCCUGCUUGGCCAAAUAAGGAGAUACAUGAAUAGGAUGCCAAAGGCAAAAAACAUGGCACUGGGAACCAUCAUGGUGGCAUGGGAAAGGUGCACAGUGGAAGCUACAGAACUUGGCUUCCAUUCCUGGUUCUGCCUGGGUGACUUUGGGCAAAUCUCGUCAUCUCUGUAGAAGUGUUUCCUCUUCCAAAAUGAAGCAGUUGGACUGGAUGGCCUUCCAGCUUUAGAAUGACUAUAUUUUUCUAAAUAAGUUGCUCAUCUGCAUCUGUGAAGAGCUUCCACUCUCAGAAUUCCCAUGACAGACGAAAUCAGAUGUGGAAGAAAAAAAUACCCCAGUAGAGUUAUGAAUAAGAAAGCCUGGAUGGAUUGGAAUCUGAACCCCUGGGCAGGGACACCCAUACCUGGGGUCAUGAAAGAGAGUGACUCGGAAUAGAUUAGAACCACUUUCUUGGCUGAAUCGGUUUACCAAGGAAGUUGCUCGUCCUUCUGAAAUGGAUAGGACACAUUCUUUCCUGACUUUACCCGGUAAAAAAAUGCCCCCAGUGAGACACAAGCUGUCUCCAUACAAUGCCAAAGCAGGCAGUAUGUUAGGCCAGUUCUGUUAAACCACCAGUCAAUUCAGUGAGAAAAAAAAAUAUAGAGAGAAGUCAUUUCUGACAUUUUAUCUCCCAUCUUUCUUCCUACCUGUACCCACCCCUUUCCCCCACUUCAUUGACUAUGUAUCUAACUUUUCAACUUUUGAUACUGGUAUCAGAUAUAUCCAAUCACAGAUAAAGAGAGAAACAGAGUGAAUCAAGAAGUCCUGGUUUGGAUUCUGCUUCAGAUGAUCUGUGUGACCUUGGGCGAGUCAUUUAAACACAGCUGGGCCUCAGUUUUCCUAUCUAUAAAAAGGGGGAAGUUGAACCUGGAUUUAAGAUCUACUUAGCCAUUGAACCCAUUUAAACAUAGAUGGGCCUUUGCUUUCCUAUUUGUAAAAAAGGGACAAUUGAACCUGGCUCUAACUAGCCUGGACAAGUCACUUAACCUUUCCAAACCUCAGUUUCCUCACUUGUAAAAUGGGGAUAAUAAUAGAACCUCCCUCAUAGGGUUGUCAUGAGGAUAAAGGGAGCUAAUGCCAGGGCUUGGCAAACCUUCAUGUGCUAUAUACAUGUGAGCGAUGAUUAUAAAGCUGUGAUUUCAGUUUGUACAACACUUGGAAGGUGGCAUCUGGCAUCAGAGCUGCCCACUGCAUUCUUCUGCCCAUGAUCAUCAAAGGCCUCUCAGAAGAAGUACAGGUCUGGCGUUCCAGAAAACGGUGGACCCACCGUCGCCAACAGCUCUCCCACAAAUAGACCCAUAGGCUGCAUCGUCCUGGAGAAGGGCCAGCUCGGAGACCAUCCAGCGAUGGGGCGCGUGUUCUUCUUUCCUUGGACCAGAAAAUCAUUUUCCCUGGCUCGGGUGUUCUAAGACACUCACACCUGGGCCCGCUGUAUUUGGAGUUAUUGUGCACUAACCAAUGAGAAACAGUAUUGUUUCAGCUCCUGCCAGUGCCAAAAGAGACCUCCAUAAAUCCCUUGGCUUUGACUUCAACCUUGCCUGCAGGAGCUCCAGUCAAGGCAGGCACGCCUCAGCUUGCAUCUCCCUGUCCUGGCCAAGUCCAUUAUUAUCAUUGGGCAACACACUUAUUGGCACUGCCGUUUCCAGAGGUUUCUGUGUUUUGGCCAUCCUUGGGAAGCUGUUUGGAUUGUAGAAAGGAUACCGUAGCAGCAUCCAAGACUCAACCUACACAACAUAUGGAAGACAAACUCUACCGGCUCAUGGGUCUGUGCCAGCCGACAUUGACUAUUUCCAAGUGCCUUAUUUUUAAGCUGUUUUUUUUCCUCUUGCCCCUCUUAACAUGACCACCCCAGCCCUGGGGGAACAUCAUCACACCUUACCUACCCUCCCUCCAAAAAGUAGCAAACACCAGUUUCACCAGAGCGUGUCUUAAAAACAAUUAAAAUCCAUCUUGUUUGAAAGAUUUUCUGAUGUCUCAAUAAACAGUUGAAGAUGGAGCUACUUCUGGGCAAAAUGUCGAAAUGGGAAAAAUCUGUUUGCCGUCUUCCUGCCCUUCUCCAUUCUUCAUUUGCACUUUCUCCCUGCCUUUUUCUCUCUCUAGGUCCUUCUACCAUGGGGGAUCCCCAAAAGAUGUCCUUCCGCAAUGACCUCUCUUCUUCCACAGCCAAGAAUAAUAAGCGAUAUGUUAAAUGUGAAGUCAGCAGAGUCCUUGAACACACUUCUUCAUCUCUUUUGGACCUUAUUUUUCUCAUCCACAAAAUGUGGGGAUUGGACCUGAUGAAGUCUAAAGUUUCUUUCAGCUCUAAAUUGGCUGUCCUAUGAAGCCCUUUGUGUGCCAUUUUCCUUGUUCGUAAACAGAGCUGAUUUCACCAGUGGUGCCUACCUUACAGGGCUACAAUAAACAUCAAAUGAGAUGAUCAGAAAAGAUUCAAAGAGCUAGUUCAGAAGCCAUAUUUCUCCCUGCCACUCCUGCCAUUUUAGAGAAAAAGAAACUGACCCAUUAAAGGGAAGUGUCUUAACCAGAAUCAUACAAAGGAUCAUAAAUAUAGACCCAGAAGGGACCUCAGAAAUGAUCCAAUCCAACCACUAUUUUGCAAAUGAGGCAACUAAAGUCCAUAAAGUUUUAAUGACUUGUGAAAUAAUUAAAUACCAGAGGUAGGAUUCGAACCCAGAAUCUCUAACUCUAGAACCAGGGCCCUUUCCUCUAUACAAUACUGCAAUAUAGGUAGGGCACUCUAAAAACCCAAGAGCUUUGUGUAGAUAACAUUUUCAUCAAGGUCCUUCCAAUUCAUAAUCCAAGAGCCUAUAAGACUGACCUCCUUUGAGAAUCGUUGGUCAGAAUAUGUUGGUUUGACCUCACUCUGCCUUUUGCUAGGUGACUGUGGCCAAGUCAUUUCAACUGUCUGAGCCUGUUUCAUCAUCUGUAAUCCAGGACUAGUUCUAUUUGAAGUGAACACUACACCAGGUUGUUUUAAGGAUCACACAAGACACUAUGGCAAAGCACUUUGUAAACCUGAAAGUACUAAAUGAAUGUAAUUCAUUGCUUGGGUUAUGUUUGGGGCCUUAAGAGAGGACUAGAAAAGCUCAAGAAGCAUCUAGAUGGUUCUGUGGAGAGAGCGCUAGGUCUCGAGUCAGAAACACCUGAGUUCAAAUCCAUCCUCAGAAACUUACUAGCUGUGUGACCCUGGGCAAGUCACUUAACCCUGUUGGCCUCAGUUUCCUCAUCUGUCAAAUGAGCUGGAGAAGGAAAUGGCAAAUCCCAGAGUCAGACACAACUGAACAACAACAGAAAGACUCAGUUCUUUAGUUAGUGUCCUGAUUUGAGGAAAGGUGACAAUGGCUUUGUGGUAUACUCACUCGAGGUAAAUUUGAUUUCAGUGGGGGUCUUUGGUACCUCAACCCAAAGGGGCUAAUCAAAGACAAGAAUUUCAGGUGUGUUCUAGAAUCCAGACAUUCAUUGGCAGGCUCUGCCUUUCAAUGCCUUUUAAAUCAAACCAUGUAGGGAAAUGCCUGCUCCUCUGCCAUGUGAGGCUGGCCCUGGCUGGAGAUACCCUGGUGCGUCAUCCAACAAGGGCUGGGAAUAUCCUCGGUAGAUGUUUUCCUGCUGAGACAUUUUCCACAGAGCCUUGCUUAAGUCCAAGACGCUUCUAAAGAAAGAAUCCUAAGUAUGGAUGGGUCCUGUCUGUACUGGUUAUUAUUAAACCUCAGCAAGCAUGCAAGACGGCUCCCAGAAGUCCCCUAAAGCUGUCAUAUUUGCUUGGACACUCUCAAAACACCGGCAACUAUCAAGGCAUCGUUCUAAGGCUGGAUUCUCUGCUCUACCGACUAGAUCUAUAACCUUAGUUUAAGGCACUUCUUUCUGAACCUCAGUUUCCCCACUCAUAAAAUGAGGACAGUGUUGGAAAUUAUCUCCAAAGUCUCUUCUAGCUUUCAUUCUUUCAUCUUAGCAGGAAUAAAGAUCUGCCACUUAGCACACUACCAAGCACAGAAUAAGCACUUGGCUCGUUGACCUGUUGGCUUCACCCUUGAGAAACUUUGGUCUUGACCCUUUGGGGAGGAACAUUUUCAGGCUCCUUAUCUCAUUGUAGAAUCCAUCCAUCACCAAGGAAUCAUUAUUAGAUGCCAGACUCUGUCUCAGGAUCUAGGGAUACCAAUGGGCAAAUCAAAGAGGGAGACUGACCCUGCCUUCAAAGACCUCACACUCUACUAGAUACCCCCAAAUGAACAUAAUAGCAUCUAUUCCCUGAGCCAGUUUGGAAAAGGAUUUGGACCCCAAACCCAUGGAAUCUUCCCUAGAGUCCCCAUCCCCUACUCCCUAGAGAUAGUUUUGUUUAAACUAAGUAACACUAGUCAUGCUCUGUACUGAAUUCUGUUGGUGGCACAAUAAAGA
This is a long non-coding RNA of Monodelphis domestica (gray short-tailed opossum), 5133 nucleotides long. RefSeq lists it as uncharacterized. NCBI's taxonomy places the organism in Eukaryota, Metazoa, Chordata, Mammalia, Didelphimorphia, Didelphidae. The record is from RefSeq and is a predicted model, not a curated record.